RNAcentral lists this ribosomal RNA (430 nucleotides) under uncultured bacterium. RNAcentral describes it as "partial 16S ribosomal RNA". It matches the Rfam family "Bacterial small subunit ribosomal RNA", at positions 29 to 507 of the family's 1533-position model. The record is from RNAcentral.
ACGCACGCUGGCGGCAGGCUUAACACAUGCAAGUCGAACGCCCCGCAAGGGGAGUGGCAGACGGGUGAGUAACGCGUGGGAACAUACCCUUUCCUGCGGAAUAGCUCCGGGAAACUGGAAUUAAUACCGCAUACGCCCUACGGGGGAAAGAUUUAUCGGGGAAGGAUUGGCCCGCGUUGGAUUAGCUAGUUGGUGGGGUAAAGGCCUACCAAGGCGACGAUCCAUAGCUGGUCUGAGAGGAUGAUCAGCCACAUUGGGACUGAGACACGGCCCAAACUCCUACGGGAGGCAGCAGUGGGGAAUAUUGGACAAUGGGCGCAAGCCUGAUCCAGCCAUGCCGCGUGAGUGAUGAAGGCCUUAGGGUUGUAAAGCUCUUUCACCGAUGAAGAUAAUGACGGUAGUCGGAGAAGAAGCCCCGGCUAACUUCGUG